This 460-nucleotide ribosomal RNA is filed under the name uncultured bacterium. RNAcentral's name for it is "partial 16S ribosomal RNA". It matches the Rfam family "Bacterial small subunit ribosomal RNA", at positions 338 to 795 of the family's 1533-position model. The record is from RNAcentral.
CCUACGGGUGGCAGCAGUGAGGAAUAUUGGUCAAUGGACGAGAGUCUGAACCAGCCAAGUAGCGUGAAGGAUGACUGCCCUAUGGGUUGUAAACUUCUUUUAUAUGGGAAUAAAAUGUUCCACGUGUGGGAUUUUGUAUGUACCAUAUGAAUAAGGAUCGGCUAACUCCGUGCCAGCAGCCGCGGUAAUACGGAGGAUCCGAGCGUUAUCCGGAUUUAUUGGGUUGAAAGGGAGCGUAGGUGGAUUGUUAAGUCAGUUGUGAAAGUUUGUGGCUCAACCGUAAAAUUGCAGUUGAAACUGGCAGUCUUGAGUACAGUAGAGGUGGGCGGAAUUCGUGGUGUAGCGGUGAAAUGCUUAGAUAUCACGAAGAACUCCGAUUGCGAAGGCAGUUCACUGGACUGCAACUGACACUGAGGCUCGAAAGUGUGGGUAUCAAACAGGAUUAGAUACCCGAGUAGUC